RNAcentral lists this non-coding RNA (30 nucleotides) under Bombyx mori (domestic silkworm). The record is from RNAcentral. Lineage: Eukaryota; Metazoa; Arthropoda; Insecta; Lepidoptera; Bombycidae.
AAGACUCGGAUCUAGAAUCACAACAGCUGC